RNAcentral lists this ribosomal RNA (119 nucleotides) under Gouania willdenowi (blunt-snouted clingfish). Lineage: Eukaryota; Metazoa; Chordata; Actinopteri; Blenniiformes; Gobiesocidae. The record is from RNAcentral.
CUAUGUGGCCAUACCAGCCUGUCAUUGCCCGAUCCCGUUAGAUCUCGGAAGCUAAGCAGGUCUGGGCCUGGUUAGUAGUUGGAUGGGAGACCACUGUGGGGUGGCAGUCGCUGCAGUGG